GACGAACGCUGGCGGCGUGCUUAACACAUGCAAGUCGAACGGAAAGGCCCUGCUUUUGUGGGGUGCUCGAGUGGCGAACGGGUGAGUAACACGUGAGUAACCUGCCCCUGACUUUGGGAUAACUUCAGGAAACUGGGGCUAAUACCGGAUAGGAGCUCCUGCUGCAUGGUGGGGGUUGGAAAGUUUCGGCGGUUGGGGAUGGACUCGCAGCUUAUCCGCUUGUUGGUGGGGUAGUGGCUUACCAAGGCUUUGACGGGUAGCCGGCCUGAGAGGGUGACCGGCCACAUUGGGACUGAGGUACGGCCCAGACGGCUACGGGAGGCAGCAGUGGGGAAUAUUGCACAAUGGGGGGAAGCCUGAUGCAGCAACGCCGCGUGCGGGAUGACGGCCUUCGGGUUGUAAACCGCUUUGGCCUGUAACGAGGCGUGAGUGACGGUAAUGGGUAAGGAAGCACCGGCUAACUACGUG
RNAcentral lists this ribosomal RNA (468 nucleotides) under uncultured bacterium. RNAcentral's name for it is "partial 16S ribosomal RNA". It matches the Rfam family "Bacterial small subunit ribosomal RNA", at positions 28 to 507 of the family's 1533-position model. The record is from RNAcentral.